AUUAAGGGGCUUGCUCCUUAAUUUAGUGGCGCACGGGUGAGUAACGCGUAGAUAAUCUGCCCUGGUAUCUAGGAUAACAUCUCGAAAGGGGUGCUAAUACCGGAUAAGCCCACGAUGGCUUUGGUCGUUGCGGGAAAAGGAGGCCUCUGAACAUGCUUCCGUAUCAGGAUGAGUCUUGCUGUACCAUUAGUCUAGAUCUGGUAGUGGUAAUAGAGUCCUACCAUAGGCGAC
This 231-nucleotide ribosomal RNA is filed under the name uncultured Geobacter sp. RNAcentral's name for it is "partial 16S ribosomal RNA". It matches the Rfam family "Bacterial small subunit ribosomal RNA", at positions 70 to 277 of the family's 1533-position model. The record is from RNAcentral. Lineage: Bacteria; Pseudomonadati; Thermodesulfobacteriota; Desulfuromonadia; Geobacterales; Geobacteraceae.